AGCGAACGCUGGCGGCAGGCCUAACACAUGCAAGUCGAACGAACCUUUCGGGGCUAGUGGCGGACGGGUGAGUAACACGUGGGAACGUGCCUUUAGGUUCGGAAUACCUCAGGGAAACUUGUGCUAAUACCGCAUGUGCCCUUCGGGGGAACGAUUUAUCGCCUUUAGAGCGGCCCGCGUCUGAUUAGCUAGUUGGUUGAGGUAAUGGCUCACCAAGGCGACGAUCAGUAGCUGGUCUGAGAGGAUGAUCAGCCACAUUGGGACUGAGACACGGCCCCAAAUCCUACGGGAGGGAGGAGUGGGGAAUCUUGCGGAAUGGGCGAAAGUCCGACGCAGCCAUGCCGCGUGAAUGGUGAAGGUCUUAGGAUUGUAAAAUUCUUUCAGCGGGGACGAUAAUGACGGUACCCGGAGAAGAAGCCCCGGCUAACUUCGUG
RNAcentral lists this ribosomal RNA (434 nucleotides) under uncultured bacterium. RNAcentral describes it as "partial 16S ribosomal RNA". It matches the Rfam family "Bacterial small subunit ribosomal RNA", at positions 29 to 507 of the family's 1533-position model. The record is from RNAcentral.